UUGAGAAUCUUCGGCAAUGGGCGAAAGCCUGACCGAGCGAUGCCGCGUGUGGGAUGAAGGCCCUCGGGUUGUAAACCACUGUCGUAGGGGAGGAAGGCUCCGUGAAGAGCGGGGUUUGACCUAUCCUAGGAGGAAGUACGGGCUAAGUUCGUGCCAGCAGCCGCGGUAACACGAACCGUACGAACGUUAUUCGGAAUUACUGGGCUUAAAGGGUUUGUAGGCGGCCAUGUAAGUCAGGUGUGAAAUCCCUCGGCUCAACCGAGGAACGGCGCUUGAUACUGCAUGGCUUGGGGGAGACAGGGGUAAGCGGAACUGAUGGUGGAGCGGUGAAAUGCGUUGAUAUCAUCAGGAACACCGGUGGCGAAAGCGGCUUACUGGGUCUCUUCUGACGCUGAGGAACGAAAGCUAGGGUAGCGAACGGGAUUAGAUACCCCGGUAGUCCUAGCUGUAAACGAUGAGCACUUAUCUGGGGACCCUCCCAUAGGUUCCCGGAUGUAGCGAAAGUGUUAAGUGCUCCGCCG
This 521-nucleotide ribosomal RNA is filed under the name uncultured Planctomycetota bacterium. RNAcentral's name for it is "bacterial SSU rRNA". It matches the Rfam family "Bacterial small subunit ribosomal RNA", at positions 355 to 873 of the family's 1533-position model. The record is from RNAcentral. Lineage: Bacteria; Pseudomonadati; Planctomycetota.